Molecule: ribosomal RNA, 579 nt
Filed under: uncultured bacterium
Lineage: Bacteria
Description: bacterial SSU rRNA
Rfam family: Bacterial small subunit ribosomal RNA
Source: RNAcentral
UCUACGGGACGCAGCAGUGAGGAAUAUUGGUCAAUGGGCGGAAGCCUGAACCAGCCAUGCCGCGUGCGGGAAGAAGGCGCUACGCGUCGUAAACCGCUUUUGUCCGGGGGUAACCGCGGGGACGUGUCCCCGCCUGCAAGUACCGGACGAAUAAGGGUCGGCUAACUCCGUGCCAGCAGCCGCGGUAAUACGGAGGACCCGAGCGUUAUCCGGAUUCAUUGGGUUUAAAGGGUGCGCAGGCGGCCCGGUCAGUCAGCGGUGAAAUGCCCGCGCUUCACGCGGGAGCUGCCGUUGAUACUGACGGGCUAGAAUCUCAGCGAGGCGGGCGGAAUGCGCGGUGUAGCGGUGAAAUGCAUAGAUAUCGCGCAGAACGCCGAUUGGGGAGCCAGCUCGCCAGCUGGGUAUUGACGCUGAGGCACGAAAGCGUGGGGAUCGAACAGGAUUAGAUACCCUGGUAGUCCACGCCGUAAACGAUGAUGGCUCGCUCUUGGCUGGAAACGGUCAGGGGCUUAGCGAAAGCGUUAAGCCAUCCACCUGGGGAGUACGCCGGCAACGGUGAAACUCAAAGGAAUUGACGGA